Molecule: non-coding RNA, 523 nt
Organism: Lonchura striata (white-rumped munia)
Lineage: Eukaryota; Metazoa; Chordata; Aves; Passeriformes; Estrildidae
Source: RefSeq, a predicted model, not a curated record
CCAGUUCCGCUUCCAGCGGCUGCUGGGCCCCGAGGGGACGCGGCAGCUCUGCGAGGCGCUGCCCCCGGCCCUGCGGGAGCUGCUGGGACUGGGACAGACCAGGAGCCAAACUGGGACGGACUGGGAGGAACUGGGAGCAACUGGGGAGGCCCAACCCCCCUCGGAGCCACCCCCGGGCACCGCCUGAGCCAAACUGGGAUGAACUGGGAACCAAACUGGGGCAACUGGGAGGGACUGGGACAAACUGGGAUGAACUGGGAGCAAUGGGAAGCCAAACUGGGAUGAACUGGGAUGAACUGGGAUGAACUGGGAACCAAACUAGGGCAACUGGGAGGGACUGGGACGAACUGGGAGCAACUGGGAGCCAAACUGGGACAAACUGGGAUGAACUGGGAACCCAAACUGGGAGGGACUGGGAGCCCAAACUGGGAGCACUGGGAGCCCAAACUGGGAUGAACUGGGAUGAACUGGGAGCCCAAACUGGUUUUUGUCUCUCUGGUCAUUAAAGCUUUGGAACCCCGGG